Molecule: ribosomal RNA, 497 nt
Filed under: uncultured bacterium
Lineage: Bacteria
Description: partial 16S ribosomal RNA
Rfam family: Bacterial small subunit ribosomal RNA
Source: RNAcentral
GAUGAACGCUGGCGGCGUGCCUAAUACAUGCAAGUCGAGCGAACGGACGAGAAGCUUGCUUCUCUGAUGUUAGCGGCGGACGGGUGAGUAACACGUGGAUAACCUACCUAUAAGACUGGGAUAACUUCGGGAAACCGGAGCUAAUACCGGAUAAUAUUUUGAACCGCAUGGUUCAAAAGUGAAAGACGGUCUUGCUGUCACUUAUAGAUGGAUCCGCGCUGCAUUAGCUAGUUGGUAAGGUAACGGCUUACCAAGGCAACGAUGCAUAGCCGACCUGAGAGGGUGAUCGGCCACACUGGAACUGAGACACGGUCCAGACUCCUACGGGAGGCAGCAGUAGGGAAUCUUCCGCAAUGGGCGAAAGCCUGACGGAGCAACGCCGCGUGAGUGAUGAAGGUCUUCGGAUCGUAAAACUCUGUUAUUAGGGAAGAACAUAUGUGUAUGUAACUGUACACAUCUUGACGGUACCUAAUCAGAAAGCCACGGCUAACUACGUG